CAAAAUCUGAAAACAUCCAAAAUUCAACACACUUUUGGUCCCAAGUGUUUUGGAUAGGGAUACUCAACCUACAGUAAUAUGUAAGAAG
Molecule: long non-coding RNA, 88 nt
Organism: Sapajus apella (tufted capuchin)
Lineage: Eukaryota; Metazoa; Chordata; Mammalia; Primates; Cebidae
Exons: 3
Source: RefSeq, a predicted model, not a curated record